Eriocheir sinensis (Chinese mitten crab) is the source of this 1215-nucleotide long non-coding RNA. RefSeq lists it as uncharacterized. NCBI's taxonomy places the organism in Eukaryota, Metazoa, Arthropoda, Malacostraca, Decapoda, Varunidae. The transcript is spliced from 6 exons. The record is from RefSeq and is a predicted model, not a curated record.
CCCGACGGAGGUACCGGAGAUCUACCGGCUACAAAGCCGGGCAGGUGGAGGCUCGUUAGCCGUGGUAGGGAAUUCACCAAGAAGAGCAAGCUCCGAACAACAAACCCGGGCAGGUGGGGCUCGUUAGCCGUGGUAGGCAGUCUGCCUAGGAGAGCAAACUCCGAAUAAUAAACCCGGGCAGGUGGGGCUCGUCAGCCGUGGUAGGCAGUCUGCCUAGGAGAGCAAACUCCGAAUAAUAAACCCGGGCAGGUGGAGGUCGUUAGCCGUGGUAGGCAGUCUGCCUAGGAGAGCAAACUCCGAAUAAUAAACCCGGGCAGGUGGGGCUCGUUAGCCGUGGUAGGCAGUCUGCCUAGGAGAGCAAACUCCUAAUAAUAAACCCGGGCAGGUGGGGCUCGUUAGCCGUGGUAGGCAGUCUGCCUAGGAGAGCAAACUCCAAAUAAUAAACCCGGGCAGGUGGAGGUCGUUAGCCGUGGUAGGCAAUUCACCUAGGAGAGCAAACUCCGAAUAAUAAACCCGGGCAGGUGGAGGUCGUCAGCCGUGGUAGGCAAUUCACCUAGGAGAGCAAACUCCGAAUAAUAAACCCGGGCAGGUGGAGGUCGUCAGCCGUGGUAGGCAAUUCACCUAGGAGAGCAAACUCCGAAUAAUAAACCCGGGCAGGUGGAGGUCGUCAGCCGUGGUAGGCAAUUCACCUAGGAGAGCAAACUCCGAAUAAUAAACCCGGGCAGGUGGAGGUCGUCAGCCGUGGUAGGCAAUUCACCUAGGAGAGCAAACUCCGAAUAAUAAACCCGGGCAGGUGGAGCCCGUCAGCCGUGGUAGGCAGUCUGCCUAGGAGAGCAAACUCCGAAUAAUAAACCCGGGCAGGUGGAGCCCGUCAGCCGUGGUAGGCAGUCUGCCUAGGAGAGCAAACUCCGAAUAAUAAACCCGGGCAGGUGGAGCUCGUCAGCCGUGGUAGGCAGUCUGCCUAGGAGAGCAAACUCCGAAUAAUAAACCCGGGCUUCAAGGUGCUCGUUAGAUGUCGUAGACAACCCAUGUGAGGGAACACCAAAGGAAAGGAAAAUAUAAAAGAACACCAGAAAAAGGAAAAUAUAGAAACGAUACAUCAAGAAAAGAAAAAACAUACAGAUCAUCCACCUUUAGGCCCUAACAUCGCCAAAAUUAUGGGUGAGUCUUUUCUGGGGAGAAAGAGGCUCAUCUAUAAAAAGAGAAAUAUAGAAA